This 895-nucleotide ribosomal RNA is filed under the name uncultured bacterium. RNAcentral describes it as "bacterial SSU rRNA". It matches the Rfam family "Bacterial small subunit ribosomal RNA", at positions 9 to 880 of the family's 1533-position model. The record is from RNAcentral.
GAGUUUGAUCAUGGCUCAGGAUUAACGCUGGCGGCGUGCCUAACACAUGCAAGUCGAGCGGCAGCGAGUUUUACACUAAAUUCUGGAAACUUCUAGUUUAAAAGAAGGUAUUUCAAGGAUUUUGUGUAGAAUGUCGGCGAGCGGCGGACGGCUGAGUAACGCGUGGGAAUAUACCCCAAAGUGAGGGAUAACUGCCCGAAAGGGUAGCUAAUACCGCAUAUGGUCUUCGGAUUAAAGCAUUUAUGCGCUUUGGGAAUAGCCUGCGUCAGAUUAGAUAGUUGGUGAGGUAAUAGCUCACCAAGUCAACGAUCUGUAACCGGUUUGAGAGGAUGAUCAGUCAGACUGGAACUGAGACACGGUCCAGACUCCUACGGGAGGCAGCAGUGAGGAAUCUUCCACAAUGGGCGAAAGCCUGAUGGAGCAACGCCGCGUGCAGGAUGAAGGCCUUCGGGUCGUAAACUGCUUUUAUAAGUGAGGAUUACGACAGUAACUUAUGAAUAAGGAUCGGCUAACUACGUGCCAGCAGCCGCGGUCAUACGUAGGAUCCGAGCGUUAUCCGGAGUGACUGGGCGUAAAGAGUUGCGUAGGUGGUCUAAUAAGCGAAUAGUGAAAUCUGGUGGCUCAACCAUUCAGACUAUUACUCGAACUGUUAGACUCGAGAACAGCAGAGGUAACUGGAAUUUCUUGUGUAGGAGUGAAAUCCGUAGAUAUAAGAAGGAACACCAAUGGCGUAGGCAGGUUACUGGGCUGUUUCUGACACUGAGGCACGAAAGCGUGGGGAGCGAACCGGAUUAGAUACCCGGGUAGUCCACGCCGUAAACGAUGGAUACUAGCUGUUUGGGGUAUCGACCCCCUGAGUAGCGAAGCUAACGCGUUAAGUAUCCCGCCUGUGGAG